GAGCAACAAAAAGAAAAGAGUGAGAAAGAGAGAAAAUAAAAAAUGUAGGAGAGAAAAAAGAGAAAGAAGCGAGAGAGAAAAAUCUGACGGGUUUACUCAAGUAAUUAAUGUUUUUUUUUAUUUCAUUAUAAAAUCUGAAAGAACAAUUCCCUUUAAUAUAAAACCCUUCCCAAAUGUCGUUCUGGUCCUGAAAUUCUCAGCGAAAUUCUUGCUGAAGAAAACAACAGCGAAGUUCUUGGUGAAGAAAACAACAACAAAAUUCUGGGCAUUGAUAUCUUUUACUUCAUUUGAAGCUUCACUGGUCUUUCGACAAAAAAUUCUUGGAUGUAAAGGUGAUGAAGGCGAUGAAAGCAGUAGUGAAGACUUGAUAUAGUAGCUGAUGUGUGGUGCUUGUGUUUCACCUUUUUUUGCAUUGGAAAAAAAUAUUUGUAUGUUUGUUUUAUUGAUAUUAGCCUAUAUGGAUGUUGAAUUAUAUAAUUGGUAAUGAACAUUUCUUUUCAUGAA
This is a long non-coding RNA of Solanum pennellii, 504 nucleotides long. RefSeq lists it as uncharacterized. The record is from RefSeq and is a predicted model, not a curated record. The transcript has 2 exons. Lineage: Eukaryota; Viridiplantae; Streptophyta; Magnoliopsida; Solanales; Solanaceae.